Molecule: long non-coding RNA, 10041 nt
Organism: Tyto alba (common barn owl)
Lineage: Eukaryota; Metazoa; Chordata; Aves; Strigiformes; Tytonidae
Exons: 2
Source: RefSeq, a predicted model, not a curated record
GUGACGGGAGAGCCAUGGCGCGGGCCGCUGCGGCCCCUCCGCGGCCGCGUGACGGGCGCGGUGCGGAUGGGAGAGGAGAGGCGCAGCCAGAUGGAGAGACCCCGCCGCGGGAACCCGCCCGGAGACCGGCGGCCUCCGGCCUGCGAGACAGCGUGCGGAUUUCAACGGCUCUCCGGCUCCUGCAGCUGGCAGUGCCCGCAGCUGGUGAAGGAUCUGGGAAGUCAUUAAGGAGAAGCGGCUGAAUGCUCCUAUACUUAAUAAAAGAUGAUAACAGGGAGGGUGUACCCAGUGAUAAAUAUUCUUGCUUCAAUCCUGUGUCUUUGAUUCAUCUCACAAUCCGAAGGGAUUGAAGAAAGUGGGGCCAUCCUUGUAUCCUGCGCUCAUCUUGCCCCCCCUCUAAACCAUGGGCUGAACCUGGGAAUCCUGAAGGCAGUAAAUACUUUGCUGAACGCUGAGUUGCCCAGUGGAAAAACAGCAAAUUCUCCUUCUGAAAGUAACUUUAAAACAGGAUGACUACAUCUCCUAUGCCUGGAAUAAUAGGAAUUUGAACUAAAGAUCAGAAAUCUGAAGGAAUUCAAUCUAUGCAGAAACUGAUGUGCUGUAUCCAAGCUAUGUGGUGAAAAGUUAAAUUUAACGAGCUGUUAAUUGUGAUUGGUGAAUGGCUAAAGUCCAAGCUUCAGAUUUGUGUUGCUUGCCUCCUGUUUUGUUUGUAAUACCUUCUGGUCUGUGCCUUUGUGUGAAAUGGGUCCCCAGUGGGUAUGCAAGCCACAGCUGAGUCUACAGCUUUGACCCGAGAACUUCACUUCCCAGCACAACAUUUAGUUCUGUUCAUCCUCAGUUCAACCUGUUCAGGUCUAAAGAUUCCUUCAAGCCAGCAAAUUGUGUCAUUCCUGUUGAUGGGGAUUGCUCUGUGUGUAUGUGUAGUCAUCAAAGAGUCACUGCAUGUGUGUGUGCAGUAACUCAGGCCUUACUUCUGAAAAGCUACGCACAGCAGAACAUGAGAACUUUAUGAAAUAAUUAGGAAAAUUACUGACAUCAACUGUGUUUAGAUGUCAUUAAGUUUAUGACAGGAUAUAACUUAACUACUUGAAUCUUUUAAAAAUUGUAGCAUCAUCUAUUGUUCUCAGCUUUUAUUUCAUCAUAUUGCAGUCAGGAGCAGAACCAGAUGUUCAAAAGCAAUAUAAAUCUCAGCAGUGUAAGGGCAAAAUAAGUACCCAGGUACGUGUAUCUAAGCAACACGACCCUGAACUUGUGUGUCUUGUCAGCCUUGCCAUCUUUGGUCCUCUGCGUAUCCUCUUUUCCUAACAGGAACUUUGUCUCAUGAUCUUACCUUCAGGAAGGUAAGACGUUGGAGAGGUUGACAACAUCAGCAGAGUGCUGCAGUGCUCUGGAACAGAGCAGUUGGACACCUUCCUGCUGUUCAUGUGGGAUCUGACCUGCUCCUGGGACUGGCUGGCUGGAUGCCAGUCCUUUCCAUCUGGCCCUUGGGAGAAGACCAGUAUAUUGCAGUUUCCUCUUAUUUGGCAAGUCCCAGGCAGAAAAUUACUCUUUUCCAUCCCACCAUUGGUGGUGUUGAAUUCCACAUCUUUUUCAUCAUCUUUGACAAAAGUGAAACAAAAACUUAAUUCUUGCAGUGUCCAUAGCCAUUCUGAAGUAGGUUUCAGAUAUGUUUCUGACUUCUGCUUUUUGGUCUCUCUUGCCCAAGUCUUGAAAGGCUUAUAUCAUUGUUCACUGGCCCUCUGAGCUGCCAGGCAUUAUCCCAAGGGCUAAUGACAUUAAUUUACCUUUUGCAAAACAGCAUUUGGAUCACACCACAGCUUUACGCUUGGCCACAGCAGAACUAUUCUUUGGUGGAAACCUGUCUGUCAGUGGAUGGAGAGAUGAUAUGCUCUUGUUGCCCACGUACUGCUGCUGCAAAGUGCCGAGUUCCUCAGUGCUUUUGAGAUGGAAGUCUUCCCACUGGAAAUCCAUGUUUAUCCUCUUUUGGGGUGACUGUUUUAUCUUGGAAACUCUCUCUCCAAACUUUGUUUAAAUAGUUACAGAUCUCUGUUACACUGAUUAUGACAGGUAACUUCCUCUUUUUUCUAUCUGCUACCAGCACCAUUUCCUUGAGUUCCUGUUCAGUAUCAGGGUCUCUGCAGCCAUCUUAUAUGAACAGGCACAAGUCUCACUUCUUAAGUGUCACAGACAAUACCCUCUCACCCUUGAGGGGUUCUUGUUGCAGCUGAAAGCAGUAGUUUGUUCUGGUGCACAUAACUUUCCUAAUAAAUGAUCUGUGGAUUGGUGAUUUGUCCAGCCUGUACAUGUGGAGCUUGAGGCAAACUGCACUGCUCUUCUUUAACCCGUGGCUGAGUUUCUUAAUCUGAAAUAACGCCCAAAUUCCCUUCUAAAACUAGUCUUUUGAUUCCACAAUGGUCAAAUUUUGUGUUUCUAGGUUGGGGAGUGAGAGUUCCCAUGCAGUUGUGUAUAGUGUUUACUGGGUCCUUAGUCUGACAUAUUUUUCUAAGCCUCUUUCUACUGGAGUCUGGGCCAUAGCCUGAGGUCGUUGAACAGUUUAUUUAUGUGGCUCUUGUUCUGAAAAUUGGAGAUAACUGCUUCUAACACCUGUGUGGGCCUUGAAUCGAGAGUUAUUUUUUGUCUCCCCUAAUUUUUCAGAAACUAGACUUCCAAGCCAGAACUUAAUGGGUGAGUCGCCGUAGUGGUAGGUACUGUAUUCUGCACCAGACAAGUGCCAUGAGUGUAGCAAAGUAUCUUUUCCACACCCCUAUGAGGUUUCCGAAGUUAACUGUUAGUGGCUUUAUUCUGUGUUUAUGAACAUGAAGAAAUGUAAACCUUUGCGUUGUAUAAAUGAGGUUUUCACUGUCAGAGUGAAAUAAUCACUGCAGGCAGUGGAAAAUAGAUCUGAGAGCAUCACCAGUAAUUCUCAAGGAUGUACUGGUCCUUCCUUUAUCCUUCCUUUUUCUAUAAGGAAAAAAUAGCAUCCAACACUAUCUUUGGGUACAAGGUCCUCUGUAUAUGUUGUGACAGAAGUUGCAGAUGUUCAAAGUCUGUGCUGUUUUUCUACCGAGUGUUCACUUUUGAGAUACUUCUCUGAAGAAGUUUGAGUGUAGUUACAGGCCCCAGUAACCUAAAGUUGCAUGGAUCUCUUUUCCAUUGCCCUGAAUUAUAGAAGGAAUUCAGUUAACAGGCUGUGAAAUCAUCAUGUUAGCUCACAGCUUUUCGGUUCAUUCCUCCAUGUUGUGCCACACACUCACUGACUCUGCUGUGUGAUUUGCUCUGAUUAUCUCCCUGUACAGAAUGGAAACUUCCUGCCAUGAAAUACACUACUCCCUCAAAACACCAUACGUAUUCUUCUUGAAAUUGAGCUUGCCUCUCACUCACAGAGAAGAGCUGCAUUAUUCACCAAAACAUUCUGCCUUUUCUUGGGUAUGAGUUGAAUCUCAGUGCCAACUCAAGACAGUACAAGAGUACAUGCCGUGAAGUCAAGAAGUUAGAAGAAGGAAGUGUUUUCCCCCUGGCUUUUCCUAGUAAGGGGGUCUGCCUUAUGUGGGCUGGGGUAGACCUGUUUCUUGUGCUCACUGUCACAUCUGUCAAGCCUCUCUGUCAUUCAUGUCAAGUAGCCGAGCAAUUUCCUGACUAAAUGCAAAGGAGUUAUGAAGCGAGACCUCUGUUCACGAAAAUAUCUUUUUCUCCUAUGUUGGGAGACCUAAAUCCUGCCUUUCUUCUCUCUGGAACAGUCAUUUAAUGAGCACUCGGCGAGUCAGUCCUGACAAGACAUACAGACCAAGAUGUUCAAAUACUAGUUGCUAAAUGUGUAGAGGAGACACUGGCAUAAAAAGUUCAGAGACCUUUUCCAUAGUGACAAGUGUCAGCCUCUCACUUUUUUGUCUCCAGGGAAAGUCACACCAUGGAUUUAAAUUAAUUAUUUCUGUCUAGGUACCAUUAUCAGUGAGACACUGGCUGUCAGAAGAGUUUGUUAAUGAGUUUGCAGGAGAGUGGAAAGGAUAAGAAUAGAUGAGGGCAGAGAGACAUCUUGAAGUGACAACCGUGAAACUGACAGCAGAAUGGUGGAUGGUAAGGAUCCUCCACUACCAGGCAGGCUCCCCCUGUCCCGAGUCCAGCUUUGAUUAAUGAGCUAAGCAAAGAAUGGAAUUAACAGACAUGAAAAAAAAUGUAAAAUGUCAGUAUAGUAUUACUUCACCACCUCAGGCCUAACACAGAAAAUACUCUGUGUCUGUGAGAAUGAGGUGCAGAGGAGCCCAUGAGAAGCUAGUACAAGAGGAGCAAUGGUGGUGUCUUAAAAUAAUUUAGCUGACAAGCUUGGAAGAGUUAUGAAUGGCAUGAACCGAUUAUUUGUCAGAGAUGUACAGUUUAGCCUAGGUUGGAUGUUUUUCCACAGGGAUGCUGAAAAGGACCCAAGUCUGGAGGCUUCCUUCUUUCUGAGCUGUGAUUAUAUGCCAUUUUUAGUGGCCUCUGCCAACAUGAAAAGGUGUACAGGCUUCUUAACAAGGUAACUAACUGGCAGAAUUUGUUUUUUUCAUGAGGAAAUAGUUUCCCUUGACUCAUUAUUUGAAAUGUAUGGACUAUUUUACCUGUGGGGUUUUGUUCAGUUCAGAGUGUCUUUUUAAACCAGCCUGAUGGAUGUGUCUAACAUGGGCAGCUCAAGUAAUUUCAGUUUGGCAAACUUCCAGGCAACCAACAACAUCUUGUCAUGAAAAGCUUAUAGAAAUCUCAUGCGUGGGUGCUUCUUAGAAGUAGCAUCCAAGCAGGUUGAGCUGUGAUACAAAUGAAGAGAUGAACCACAUCUGGUACAGAACAUGCUUGGGGAGUACUAGGGAGGGAGCAAGGCUCUACAGGUUUUUCCCAUUAAAAUAUCUCUCAGUGGUGACUGACAAUAGGUAAUUGCUCCUCUAGCGUGUGCUGUGAAUGCUACCGUGCGUUAAAUGUCUUUUGUCCUCUCUGAAGGCAUUCAUCUCCCCUAACUUUAGAUGUAGACAGGUACAAGGUACACCAGAAUCCCGGAUUGCCCUUCUGCAUUAUGUGGAGUUGACAUCAAAGAAGACAGACUUGGCUACCUUGGUGUGAGAGAAUGAAGGGAACUUUACAGAUGCAUAGCAUCUUCUCUGGCAUGUGAUGGUUUGCAGGAAGCUGGUCAGUAUGACGAUUGCAAACAUGAAGACGAUGUGGUAUGAGGAACAAAAGUACCACAGUGAAAAGCUGUUAGUAAGCACUGUGUCAGUACACAGCUCCAGAGACUGUCCCUAGCCUGAGGAGGUUAGAAGAAGCCUCAAGGUUCUCAGAAGGCAAAAAAAAAAAUGAACCUGUGAGGCAAUGACUUCUUCUUCGGCAACUUUACCCUGAAGUUAUUUGUUCUUGUCGCUCAGACCUUUCAUCCAGACACGGUUAUUUUCAUUAAGAGAAAGCAACCCGGGAAAGAUUUUAUCAGCACAGCUGGAUCAUCUCAUGUGAUGGUUUGACCAGUCUUCAGCAAUCCUGUAAUCCAAUCAGUGUCCAAUGUGGAGGAUGUGUGAAGAUGUCACUGUGCUUGUUCAAUACAUCCUGAGCUCCCCUUCUUCAUGGGGCCUGGCUUUGUCCCACGCUAAUGAUCUGGAUAGCACAUGUUCUUUUUUCAUGACCCUAACUAUUUUUAAAAGACAAAGACCUUUGCUCUCUAAAGGUGAUUUCGCCUGUGUGCCGCUUCCAAACUAUUUCUCUCCCAGCUCCGCACCUAACCUGGCCUGACAAAGAAGAGCAAAGUAUCCAUAGGCUCACAAGGAGUGUGGUAGUGGCAUGUUUCCUAGAUGCAUGUGAAAGCCAGUGAAAAGAGACUGUCUCCAACAUGUGCUGUGAAAGUCACCUUAGAUGCUGCAGCAACCGUGGGGGCAGUUGAAACAUAGGAAAAUACCACCAUUCACGACAUUAGUGGAAAGUUGCAGGCAGAUGGCGUGAGGUUAAAUGGAGGAUUGACUACCAGGCUUUGCAGAGAGUGGAGAGGCUAAAAUGGGGCCAGCCCCCACCCAGGGCUGAGCAAACAGAGCAAGAAACAACCAAAGGGGUGAGAGGUAGGGUCAGACCUGCCCUGGAUGGAGGGUGCCUAAGGGUAGUGCUGCCUGACUGGGAUCACUCACCAAGGCUGUAAUUGCCAAACAGGGGUGCAAAAUCAUCAAAACUUGAACCUGUGGGGGACCAAGUGGUAAGGGGAAAUAACUGGGGUGGGUUGUUCAUAUGGCAGGGGGAAAUGGGGGCAAAAUAGAGGACAAAGCAAUUCAUAUGGUUGGGGCUGUUUGGGGCCAUAGUGGGCAUCAGAUCAGAUAUAAGUCAGGAGCAGGACAGUAAAUCUGCUGUGGCCAUAUGGGUGAGUUUGCCUUCCUUCUGCAGCCAGGGGGAUGUGUUAUGACCCAGACGGACCCCAAAGAGUCAUGGGUUUCUGUGAUCCCCUCAGGUUAAAAUAAAGUGAAACAACACCAGAAGACCAGUUAAAAUAUUUUAUUUGCAGUAGAAACAGCUUAAACUUGGAAAAGGAUAGUAAGCAAUGGGGUCUCUUACUGAUAAAUCUAGAAGAAAGAAAAGAAAGGAAAAGAAGAGAAAGGAGAGAAAGAUAGUCGAAGUAUCCAGAUCACCACCCCAAGUUCCAGCAUUGUCUCAGGUCCAGUAAUCUUGGGUGGUGGGUGCACACCCAGCAAAGUUUUCUGUCGCCUUUUAAGUUCAUCUUACCAGCUGACUAGCAUACUAGAUCAAGAGAGGCAGGUAUUCCACGAACUCAGUUCCAUGAGAGACGAGGAAAAGGUGUGGAGCGUGCGUUCUGUGCAUGCACUGAGGGGAAAUGAGGUGCACCAACCCCCUCGUCCAGCUGAGUCAAUGGUUGUGCUCACACUCCACCUCACCCCCCUUUAUUUUUUCCUCUGUUUUUGCUUAGGUCCAUCUGGUGCUGGCUGUUUAUUUCUCUUAUUAAUCUUUUAACCCAAACAUAUGGUUUCACUCAGUCCAUGUUUCCCCUCUUCAAGGCUUAUCUAAGGAGUUUGGCAGUACAACUGCAAGGGAGUGAGGACGUGCAUCACUUGAUACACUCUGCGCUUCUUUGGGCAGUGUUCCUGAGACUAAUCACAAAGGCCACAGCUUAUCCUUGAGGCUUUCCAUGUUGAUGAAUGUUUGAGGUAUUAAUGCCUUCUGUUCCUUGCACCACCCUGUGACUCAAACAUUCGGUGAAACUUCAAGGUAGUCAUCAUCAAGGGUGGUAAUGCAGAUAUAUUGAACAGAGAGAGGAAGAGAGGGAACUAUGAGAGAGCGUACAUUCACUAUAGCAAUACCUAUCACUAUUGCAAAAAUACUGACAAAAUCAUAAAUCUAAUGUUUACGAGCCAUCUUCCCCAAGCUCCUCAACAUACUUCUUUUCACAUUCUUUUCCUAUUUCACAACUUUUACAACAGUUCUUUUACUUUGCCUUUCCAUUAACACUUUCUGUUAAUACAUAUAUUCCAUUUCAUGAGUUUCAUGAUCACAUCAUUUGAUUACAAAAUGUGUCUUGAUUAGGUAUCCAAAAUUAGGAUAACCCCAACAAGUGCACGUAUCUCAAAUAGAACUUCUUAAUGAUCUACAACUAAUAAUCAUCGAUUACAAAAAAUGUUUAAGGCACCAAGCACAUUCAUAAUGAAAGCAGUCAUGGUGAGCAUAACCACCCCAUUUGUUAGGAAUUUGAAUACACCAACCUGGGGAUAGCAGAACAUUAUAGGGGUUCACCAUGAGAUAGGGGGUCCCACCAACGUAAUAUACGUUUGAUUUAACAUUUUUAGUUUCUAAUGCAAAACUCAUGCAAAUUUGAAACCCGCUGAUGUGGACAUGGGGAGAUCCACACAGAGACCUUGCUCUGUCUGAUUCCAUAUUUGAGCAAAACCAGUAAUCAGUUCCCAUGCCAAGUUGGGUUGCUUAUCCGAAUUCCUAGUUGAUUGAGACAAGAUUAUACAUCCACAAAGUAAGAAUAUAAUCUUCUCCUGCACCAUUUUUCCAAAGUAAAGAAUAAAACCAGGCCUAGUAAGAUCAGUCAAACAGUGCAAGGAAUGGCCCUCAAUAACUGAAAACACUAGUCUCACAGUGGGCUUCUGAUCCACCUGCAAAAUGCAGUGGUUUUAGGGAACAUCAAGUAGUACUGCCUGCAGUCAAGACUGGAAGUGUCCAUCCAAGAGGUGUGAGACACCCCCUUCAAGGUGCUCAUGCAAAUGAAACUUCAAGCUCUCUUGACUGGAACAGCUCUGCUCAAAAUACACUGAAGCAUCCUCAGAUCUGCAGAAUGAGCUCAUUGUGUGUGAAAAUGCCAAUAAAUUUCAGUUGGACCAGCCAUAGGAGCAUUGCCUGAACCUUGUGGUGAAGGAUCCACAAAGAAUCAGUUAGCAGUGAUGAAGGAGCUUUAAACAUCAUUCUUCAUCCUUCAUAAUGGAAACUGUGCAGAGAAAAUAGCGACCUCUUGCUCCUGCAUGGCAUCCCUCCUUCUGCCCUGCCUGCAAUAUUAUCCACCAGCCAACGGUUUUCCUAAGUGCCAGAUGGCCUAGGUGCUUCUGUAAGAACUCAAACAUGGUCUAUUGCCAAGCUUCCAGAGUCCAUGUACCCUCCCCAAGAAACCGUGAGAGGUCAGCACAGCAUCACCAGUCAGAAAUACAAAAGCGACAAGGAUUAUUUCAACACAAACAUGCAAACAACCAAGCAGCUAUGGUGUUGGCACUGUAGUAGAGGGUUGGGGCUGACUUUUGCACCUUAACUGAUAUGCUUGUUAGAAUCAAGCUAGUGGGGUACAGUACCCUGUGCGAAUACAUUCUGAUAAGCUGCUUUACAUCAGAACAUCUUUAAUUCAGGACAUGAAGGCCCACCUAGAAGAAAUAAUUUUUACCUUCUUUUCUUGUUCUGAAAAAGUGGCACCUUGACCCAAAAAUCCCAAGCUCUCCCCUCCUUUUUCCUGGAAUACCUCUGUUAGGCAUUGCAUCUUCAAGUUGCUGGUCAUUCCGGUACUAUGGAAGGCUGUCAGGAGAUCCCCAACCAAGCGGGUCAGUGCAUGCUGGAGUCCAAACUGCUAAUCCCAGAGCCAGGAUUGAUCAGGCGAUCUGGGCAAGAUGUUGUGGCCAUCCCACCUGGGUCACCAAAAUGUUAUCCCAAAAGAAGUGUUCUCUCACCUGGUAUGCAAGCCAAUACGCACAGGGUCAAGGUAUUUCUUUUAUGCAAUGUCUGUGCAGAGAUGGGUGCUAGGUGGUAAUUCCACAAAGCUAGCGCAUCACCCAAAGGAACUACAGCCUAUUUAUCUUGUUACAUGAUUAGUAAACAAAUACUCUGUAAAUGCUGGCACUUUCACAACUAUAUUUAUCCAAGCUAUGUGGCUUUACGGGAAAUCAAUUCAGCCUGGCGUUACUUGGCUUUAAGGUUACUAAGAAGAGACGAGAGAGAUGUAUCGCAAUCCUGGAUCCAGCAUUGGACCUGUCAACAGGGGUGUUAGGUGUGGAGAGUCCCCUCUUUAUAGCCCCAGUUCCUGGACUUCUGGAACCUUCUCUCACCCCGGUCUCAGGAGUGGUUGAGACACUGGCCAGUCAAGAGAAAUGACUCACUGCAACUUCCAUUUUGUGUCUCUGAAACCAUUUUGUGUCUCUGCUCUGGUCAAGGGAGGGGGCAUACAGUGCAGUGACUUCAGUCACUUGGGGCUCAUCCCUUACAUAAAACCUUGGAUCAAAUUCCAGGCUAAAUUUGGAAGAUAUUUUCACUGUCCACCAAUGGUAAGGAUGAGGAUGAGGGAGAAGGCUCUCCAAAGCAUCUUUCCCUAGAACAACAGACAAAAAUUACAAAUAACAAUAAACCAGUGGUGCAAAUAACAAUUGAUAUAGCCAGGCUUAAUAUGGAUCCCUUGCCAUCCUUCUCUGUUUUUCUCUAAUUCUACAAGGCAUGCAUACAAAGGACAUGCAAGUUAAAACAAGGGUAUUAAUAUAUACAUAAUGAGACAAAGAAGUUUCUGUGAUGGAUCUGCAAAAUAUGUAAAAUCACAGAACACAUUAAAAGGAUGGAACAGUC